CCUGGUGGUUUGAGCGAGGUGGUACUACCUGAUCCCAUCCUGAACUCAGUCGUCAAACGCCUUAGCGGGGACGAUACUUAAAGCACAAGCUUUUGGGAAAAUACCUCACUGCCAGGA
RNAcentral lists this ribosomal RNA (117 nucleotides) under candidate division WWE3 bacterium CG_4_10_14_0_2_um_filter_42_8. RNAcentral also lists the same sequence under 3 other names. Lineage: Bacteria; candidate division WWE3. The record is from RNAcentral.